Molecule: ribosomal RNA, 492 nt
Filed under: uncultured bacterium
Lineage: Bacteria
Description: partial 16S ribosomal RNA
Rfam family: Bacterial small subunit ribosomal RNA
Source: RNAcentral
AGUGAACGCUGGCGGUAUGCCUAACACAUGCAAGUCGAACGGCAGCACAGUAAGAGCUUGCUCUUACGGGUGUCGAGUGUCGGACGGGUGAGUAAUACAUCGGAAUCUACUUUUUCGUGGGUGAUAACGUAGGGAAACUUACGCUAAUACCGCAUACGACCUACGGGUGAAAGCAGGGGAUCUUCGGACCUUGCGCGAUUGAAUGAGCCGAUGUCGGAUUAGCUAGGUGGCGGGGUAAAGGCCCACCAAGGCGACGAUCCGUAGCUGGUCUGAGAGGAUGAUCAGCCAGACUGGAACUGAGGAACGGUACCGACUCCUACGGGAGGAAGCAGUGGGGAAUAUUGGACAAUGGGCGAAAGCCUGAUACAGCAAUACCGCGUGGGUGAAGAAGGCCUUAGGGUUGUAAAGCCAUUUUGUUGGGAAAGAAAAGCAGCAGGUUAAUACCCCGCUGUUCUGACGGUACCCAAAGAAUAAGCACCGGCUAACUUCGUG